This 740-nucleotide ribosomal RNA is filed under the name Pseudocercospora crystallina. RNAcentral's name for it is "eukaryotic LSU rRNA". The stretch from base 1 to 177 matches the Rfam family "Eukaryotic small subunit ribosomal RNA", at positions 1657 to 1831 of the family's 1831-position model. Lineage: Eukaryota; Fungi; Ascomycota; Dothideomycetes; Mycosphaerellales; Mycosphaerellaceae. The record is from RNAcentral.
CCUUUGUACACACCGCCCGUCGCUACUACCGAUUGAAUGGCUCAGUGAGGCCUUCGGACUGGCCCAGGGAGGUCGGCAACGACCACCCAGGGCCGGAAAGUUGGUCAAACUCGGUCAUUUAGAGGAAGUAAAAGUCGUAACAAGGUCUCCGUAGGUGAACCUGCGGAGGGAUCAUUACUGAGUGAGGGCUUCGGUCCGACCUCCAACCCUUUGUGAACCAAACUUGUUGCUUCGGGGGCGACCCUGCCGCUUCGGCGGUGCGGCGCCCCCGGAGGCCAUUAAACACUGCAUCAUUGCGUCGGAGUUAAAGUAAAUUAAACAAAACUUUCAACAACGGAUCUCUUGGUUCCAGCAUCGAUGAAGAACGCAGCGAAAUGCGAUAAGUAAUGUGAAUUGCAGAAUUCAGUGAAUCAUCGAAUCUUUGAACGCACAUUGCGCCCUCUGGUAUUCCGGGGGGCAUGCCUGUUCGAGCGUCAUUUCACCACUCAAGCCUGGCUUGGUAUUGGGCGUCGCGGCUCCGCGCGCCUUAAAGUCUUCCGGCUGAGCUGUCCGUCUCUAAGCGUUGUGGCAACUAUUCGCUUCGGAGGUCGGGUGGCCGCGGCCGUUAAAUCUUUCACAAGGUUGACCUCGGAUCAGGUAGGGAUACCCGCUGAACUUAAGCAUAUCAAUAAGCGGAGGAAAAGAAACCAACAGGGAUUGCCCUAGUAACGGCGAGUGAAGCGGCAACAGCUCAAAUUUGA